ACAGCAGGCCGCCUUAUCGUUCUAAGUUCAUCUUGGGAAGGAAAGUCCGGGCACCUUAGGGAAGCAUAGCGGCUAACGGCCGUCCUUCUUAAAUAACAAUUUUCGAAGAGGACUAGUGCAACAGAAAGUAUGUACAGGUAAUGCUGUAGUGAAAUCCGGUAAACUCUAUGCGGUGAAAUGCCACGUAAACUAGCGCUUGAGAGUUCCCGCUCGAUGCUAGAGGGUAGGCAGAUAGAAUAAGAAGGCAACUUCUUGUCCAGAUAAAUGAUAAGGUCCCGAAUUAGUUCGGGAACAGAACCCGGCUUAUAGGCCUGCUUUUUUU
Molecule: RNase P RNA, 322 nt
Filed under: Flavobacteriaceae bacterium
Lineage: Bacteria; Pseudomonadati; Bacteroidota; Flavobacteriia; Flavobacteriales; Flavobacteriaceae
Description: RNase P RNA component class A
Rfam family: Bacterial RNase P class A
About the family: Ribonuclease P (RNase P) is a ubiquitous endoribonuclease, found in archaea, bacteria and eukarya as well as chloroplasts and mitochondria. Its best characterised activity is the generation of mature 5'-ends of tRNAs by cleaving the 5'-leader elements of precursor-tRNAs.
Source: RNAcentral